This is a non-coding RNA of Drosophila takahashii, 504 nucleotides long. The record is from RefSeq and is a predicted model, not a curated record. Lineage: Eukaryota; Metazoa; Arthropoda; Insecta; Diptera; Drosophilidae.
GAAAUAUUUAAGAAAAUUAAAUUUUCCCUGCUGUGCGAGGGCCCAGUGAAGUGUGACGAAAAGAAAAACCAUUUCCGAAGAAAGUAAAUUUUGCAAAUCAAAACCAAGCACUUGGAUCCGGUCUGGACUAUUAAACGCCUCAUCCGCCAUGGAAGGACCUCAACUAGAGCCCCCCUGCUCGUCCUCGGAAUCCUGCUCAGCGCUGAGUACGUGAACGUCUCCGCGGAGAAUGUCCGCUUGCAUGACAAUUGUAGCGUGCCGGCAUUCAGAAAACGCAGCAGCAGCAGACGACGCGGCUGAGCGAGCAGUACGUGAAGUGAUUCUCAACAAGCAGCGGCAGUAGGGCGCGAAGGAGCAGGGCCAGGAGCAAGGACAUCCCACAUCCAGCAUCCAACGCACAUGCACGACAGAAGGGCUUAGCACCUGCACUCGAGCCGCAGACAGCAGAAGAGCCAACGCACGGAAUAAUUCACUUAAACUGCCAUAUAUUUUGCAAACAAAAAA